Molecule: RNA transcript, 4274 nt
Organism: Triticum dicoccoides
Lineage: Eukaryota; Viridiplantae; Streptophyta; Magnoliopsida; Poales; Poaceae
Exons: 8
Source: RefSeq, a predicted model, not a curated record
UCGCUCAGCGACUCCUCUGCGGCUCUGCUCGACCAAGACACCCAGCCGUCGCGGCAUCUCCGUUCCUCGCGGCUUCGCCGGUCGCCGGCCGGAGCCCGGAGUUCAGCCGUCCAGGAGAUGCCCGCCUCCCCUCUUCCCGGCUUCCUGCCCGGCCGCCCGGUCCAGCCGCGCCCCUGCCCUGCGCGCGGCUGCGCCCCUGCGGACUGCGGUCCCGGCGUCCCGCAUCCUCUUUCUGGCGCCCCGCCGGCCCGGCCGCCCCCCUUCAAAGCCCCACCACGGCGGCAAACCCCUGGCCGAUUUAAGAAUUAGUGAAGAAUGAAGAGGGCCGGAGACAUUGUUUCUCUUUUUCAAAGAGAAGCUAUUAAGAUAGGGAAGAAGAAGAAGGCAGGGACUAUGCCGGAUGUGGCCGAAGAGCAAACCCGAGAAUUUUUGUGUAUGCAUGUUUUGAUUGAAGAGCAAACUAGAUGGUUGAUAGUCUUUUGGAUGAUUGCCUAGUCACGUACAUUGAGAGGGACGUUUUCUCCCAGAUGAAUGAAGAUGAUAUAAUUGAUACCUUCGUGGCAAUGCAAGAGCGUAGGCCAGAAAAAUAGUCUUUUUGAACUCGUCAAGGUAUGUACUAUGGUCUAGGUAGUAUUUACUAUGUAGGCUUCUUUAUGCAAAAUUAGAAUUUAAUUGAGAAUUUUAGAGUGUUCAUAAGACCAUAUUGCUUUAUGAUAUUGAUAAUUAGCUAGCACGUUCAUAUAACAUAUUGCUUAUGAAAAAAAAAUUGGGGGGCGGACCACCCUGGUGUCAAAUGCUAGCUCCACCACUGCCUCCGGGACUGCUGCAAUGGCCACCUCCUCCUCUCCGGAUCCGACGGUUCACUGUGCAUCUAUGACCCGCUCUCCGAGCGGCGUGUGCCCAUCGGCCCGCGCACGCAUCUUGACCAGCGCUGGAAGUGCCUCGGCGACUGCUUGCUUGACGGCCUUGCCCGCCAUAUGGUCUCCGUGGAGCAACACGGCCAACAGAAGCAUGCCGAGGAGUCCUUGCAGUGGCAGAGCAAUUCCAGAUUCAAUGUAUGAGCCGUUGAGUAUAACUCCGGCACGCUUGAGUGGCGCGUCCACCCACCCACAGACUGGGUGGACGAAGGUUCAGUUGACGAAAUUGCAAUUGAAGGCAAUGUAUGCAGCCGGCCACAUAUUCUGGGAAACUGAUGUCGCCAGAUUGCUGGUGCUUGACACGAGCACCAUGGAGUCCUCAGAGCACGGUGUCCCAUGGGAGAUAGUCUCUACCAGUUGGGCCAUCGGAGAGCUCCGAGACGGCAAGGGCUGCCUCGUGUGCCUCCAAGGCCUCAAUAGCUCCUUCGGCAAAGAUGGCCUCAUAGUGGAGGAACCUCUCCGCCUGGAAGUCUGGGCACUAAAGAAGGAGGAGGAGGAUAAGCAAGGUAAAUUUUGUUGCAAGUGCGAGAAGGGUGUCCGGGUGAGCGAGAUGCUCCCGGAGGACGCUCGCUCGUGUGUGUAGAGUCCACAAGAUCAUCAACGUCUAAUGAAGACAAAGUGUUCAGAUUCCUAGCAAGAACAUGGAUGGCCGCGAAGGCGCCUCUUCUGGUGGAUCGGAAUCUGCAUCUCUCCAAAGUCAACUUCAGGUGGAAUCCCCUAAUGUCAGUGGAUCUAGUGGUAUUGAGGAUGCGUCAUGUGAUGAUGAUAACCAGCGUGCAUUGGCGUCUCUGGGUAUUGGAGAUGCAGUACACACAGAUGCAACAACAGCGGCAGCCAUCAAUGCCGUAGAUUCUCAUGCCAACGAAGAAGCAACUGGUGGCUGGGCAUCUGACGGAAGAACAAAGCUAACUACAACUCUUGAGAAAGUAGCACAAGAAGUACACAUCAGCCAGACUCCUUUGAGUUCAGAGCAACAUGAUAUUGGUGAGAAAUCAAGUCAAGAUCUGCAUGGUGGUAGUGCUAGGAUUCAGCCAAUGGAAAAGGACCCGUGUCAUGAUGAACUGACUCUGCAAACGGCUGGUGUUUUCCCUUCUGAAAGCUGUGACGGGGAUAUUCUAGAAGAUAAAUCUGAAACCGACAACCUGACAAAGAAUACUAGAGAAGAUACUGAAAUGUUGGAGCAACAGAAUAGUGAUAAGGCUAACAUACAAGUCAGUUGCGCCAACAAAAUGAGUGAAGUGCUCUAUGAUGAUAAUAACACCUUGGGGAAGAAUACAAUCUGUGGUGGGAAGGUUACUGUAGAGUGCCACUUGGCCUUGUUACACAAUAAAAGUUCAGAAGCUAGGAGUAACGCCAUUUCAUCUCCAAUGCAGAAGAGGCCCUUUGCGUGCCAGAGCCAUGUAAAUGGUUGCACCAUGAGCUAUGACAGUAAGAACAAUUUAGCCAAGCCUUUUAGGGAAGUCCAUGAGCCGAAGAAACGUUUCGCACGGAGAUUCGCUGGGUGUCGCGAGGAGUUUUCUUCAAAGAAUGAAAGGAAGAUUCAUGAGGGAUCUAGUGCUCACGUCGAGGUCAACACAAAGCAGCCAUCCCAUACCACAUAGUUUACCUCCUGUACCCAUGCCUUUCUCUUUCAGAAGUUUAUCAGACACACACCAACCGCUUGCCAUUUUGUAGCUUUCCACCAAUAGGAUUAAUUGUGUCAGCACCUCUCCUGCCGGUGGACCAGAAGCCCAUGAAGAGCCCAGGCCCACACAAGUGGUGGGCCUUCGCACAAGCAACUGACCACGUAAACCGAACAAGCUAGUAAGUGGAGACGACUGGGUCAUUUGAUAAGGACGGUUUAAGAAGCUCACAGUGCCAGGAGGAAAGUCAUCGAAGAUCAAUCACGGAUCAUAGUUUAUCUAGGCUCUCAACCCUAAUUAAGCCCCCCAAUUCUUGAUUCUUCUAUUCCGCACAAUUGUGCUUGUAUAAGCUUGUAACCUGAAUCCAGCGUAUUUCCUGAACCCUGUCUAGUGAAUUCAGUGAGUGAACUAGAGCCCAGUUAACAAAAUGCCACUUCAAGGACUGCAGCACGACAUUUACAACGAGACAUAAAUGUACCAAGCAUUACAAGGAACAACAUGAGCAGGGGAGAAGAAAGGACAUAUAUAUCAACAGAGAGCCUUACACAUAUGCGCUGGAGACACAGCAUUGCAGUCUGCACAAGUCUGAAUCUUCUGUGCUUGUGCAGUAUUUUUUGCACAUGUUCUCUGGAUACAGUUGCAGCAGUGUUAAGGGUGAGUUUUUGUGUGUGUGUGUGUGUGUGUGUAACCUGGCAUAAAUUAUGAUGUGUAGUGGUUAUGUUUAGAGCAUGGCUCUAAUUCUUCUUCUAGAUGCAGAUUCUGUUCACUGUGCUGUGUUUUUGCACAAACCACAAACUGAAGCAGAUCGAUGUUCAGAGUUGAUAUGGCCCCUUUCCUGAACAAAAUUAACUUUUUUGUUGAGGGAAACUAAACCUUUAUUUAAACAAAGUUCUCAGAGAUUUCUUGUGUGCGGCCCCAGUUUUUUUUUCUUUUCAGUUUCCCAUGUCCUGAAACUUCCAGAACCGCCCAGCAUUUUGCAUAUCUCCAACAAGUUUACAAGCCUGAUUAGUUUUAAUUUUGGAAUAUGUCCGCAAGCCUGAUUAGUUUAAUUUUGUAGCUUUCGUCCUCUCCCACUAAUCCGAUAAUUUGCUAGACUAUUUCUUGUACUAGGUUCUGAUGUAACAUGAACUGAUUUCUUUUGGAUCCUGUAGAUUCUGCAGGCAUUUCAAUAUCUUAAGACAGGUUAGCAUCACAAGUUGUUGCCUGUACUGUAGUGAAACAACAUUUAAUGAUCUAGGCACUGCAUAAUUGUUAUACAUUCAUAUUGCAAGCUCCCAUAUCUUAGAACAGCUGCAGGAUGUCAAGGACAAGGAUGUGGCUCUGCCACUGAAGAAGCCUAGCAGCAACCGGAGCUUGACUGGUUCGAGAAAUUUGGCGCCAGUCCACGUCGAGUUGGCUACAUCAUAACACGGCACCGCAAAGAUGUUCAGUUGACUGUUGCAGGUGUAAUAUGUCAGGUUCUUGGUAAGGGUGACCAGUGAAGAGUAAGUAUGCAUAAUCUUUGGUUACAUUCGCAGCUUCUAGCCUCUGGGCCAUGCACAGGUUGUAUCGAUCCAGUUACAGGAGUGUAUGUGGUGGUCGUUUUGUAUAUGGCUGGAAUUAUAUGAAGUAGUAUGCUGAGUUUAACACUGUAGCGUUGCUUAAUUACAUCAAGUUGGUAUUAUCAUCGUGGAUUGUAGCAUCGAUCAAUGUUCAGAAUUAAUAUGGUUCUGCUACUAGUGUUCAUUGACUGUCA